RNAcentral lists this ribosomal RNA (253 nucleotides) under uncultured bacterium. RNAcentral describes it as "partial 16S ribosomal RNA". It matches the Rfam family "Bacterial small subunit ribosomal RNA", at positions 524 to 776 of the family's 1533-position model. The record is from RNAcentral.
UACGUAGGGUGCAAGCGUUAAUCGGAAUUACUGGGCGUAAAGCGUGCGCAGGCGGCUUUGCAAGACAGAUGUGAAAUCCCCGGGCUUAACCUGGGAACUGCAUUUGUGACUGCAUGGCUGGAGUGCGGCAGAGGGGGAUGGAAUUCCGCGUGUAGCAGUGAAAUGCGUAGAUAUGCGGAGGAACACCGAUGGCGAAGGCAAUCCCCUGGGCCUGCACUGACGCUCAUGCGCGAAAGCGUGGGGAGCAAACAGG